This 201-nucleotide long non-coding RNA is filed under the name Homo sapiens (human). RNAcentral's name for it is "non-protein coding LINC02100:25". The record is from RNAcentral. Lineage: Eukaryota; Metazoa; Chordata; Mammalia; Primates; Hominidae.
GCAUUUCUCUAAUCGAGCUGUAACACUUGCUGCUGCGGUCCAUGGCUCCAUUCCUUGAAGCCCACGAGACCAGGAACCCUUGGAUUGAGAAAAAACCUUCAAUUGGGAGGAUACUUCUUAUCUCAUUUCUAGGGGCCCAUCCGGGAUUUCUCCACAGCAGCAUCAACAUGGCAGCAAAUUCUGAAAGUUUCCUCUCCUGGC